This 442-nucleotide ribosomal RNA is filed under the name uncultured bacterium. RNAcentral's name for it is "partial 16S ribosomal RNA". It matches the Rfam family "Bacterial small subunit ribosomal RNA", at positions 338 to 795 of the family's 1533-position model. The record is from RNAcentral.
CCUACGGGAGGCAGCAGUGGGGAAUAUUGGGCAAUGGGCGGAAGCCUGAUCCAGCAACGCCGCGUGAGUGAAGAAGGAUUUCGGGUUGUAAAGUUCUUUUGACAGGGAAGAGCAGAAGACGGUACCUGUCGAAUAGCACACGGCUAAAUAAGGGCCAGAGGCCGGGGUAAUACGUAGGUUGAAAGUGUUGUCCGGAUUUACUGGGUGUAAGGGGCGUGUCGCCGGGCUGACAAGUCAGGUGUGAAAGCCGGCGGCUGAACCCCCGAACUGCAUUUGAAACUGGUGGUCUGGAGUAUCGGAGAGGCAGGCGGAAUUCCUAGUGUAGCGGUGAAAUGCGUAGAUAUUAGGAGGAACACCAGUGGCGAAGGCGGCCUGCUGGACGACAACUGACGGUGAGGCUCGAAAGCGUGGGGAGCAAACAGGAUUAGAUACCCGAGUAGUC